GACGUAGGGUGCAAGCGUUGUCCGGAUUUAUUGGGCGUAAAGAGCUCGUAGGCGGCUUGUUGCGUCGACUGUGAAAACCCGCGGCUUAACCGCGGGCUUGCAGUUGAUACGGGCAGGCUAGAGUUCGGUAGGGGAGACUGGAAUUCCUGGUGUAGCGGUGAAAUGCGCAGAUAUCAGGAGGAACACCGGUGGCGAAGGCGGGUCUCUGGGCCGAUACUGACGCUGAGGGACGAAAGCUAGGGGAGCGAAUGGG
This 253-nucleotide ribosomal RNA is filed under the name uncultured bacterium. RNAcentral's name for it is "partial 16S ribosomal RNA". It matches the Rfam family "Bacterial small subunit ribosomal RNA", at positions 524 to 776 of the family's 1533-position model. The record is from RNAcentral.